UAAUACGAAGGGUGCUAGCGUUGUUCGGAAUGACUGGGCGUAAAGGGCGCGUAGGCGGCUAGAUACGUUUGAUGUGAAAUCCCUGGGCUUAACCUAGGAACUGCAUUGAAUACGGUCUAGCUAGAGUCCGCGAGAGGAAGAUGGAAUAGUGCGUGUAGAGGUGAAAUUCGUAGAGAUGCACUAGAACACCGGUGGCGAAGGCGAUCUUCUGGAGCGGUACUGACGCUAAGGCGCGAAAGCGUGGGGAGCAAACAGG
RNAcentral lists this ribosomal RNA (256 nucleotides) under uncultured bacterium. Its description in RNAcentral is "partial 16S ribosomal RNA". It matches the Rfam family "Bacterial small subunit ribosomal RNA", at positions 521 to 776 of the family's 1533-position model. The record is from RNAcentral.